This 5673-nucleotide ribosomal RNA is filed under the name Plenodomus lingam JN3. RNAcentral's name for it is "28S_rRNA". The stretch from base 307 to 3655 matches the Rfam family "Eukaryotic large subunit ribosomal RNA". Lineage: Eukaryota; Fungi; Ascomycota; Dothideomycetes; Pleosporales; Leptosphaeriaceae. The record is from RNAcentral.
ACUUUUAACAACAGAUCUCUUAGUUCUAGCAUUAAUAAAGAACGCAGCAAAAUGCGAUAAGUAGUGUAAAUUAUAGAAUUUAGUAAAUUAUUAAAUCUUUAACCGCACAUUGCGCCCCUUAGUAUUCUAUAGGGCAUGCCUGUUAAAGCGUUAUUUGUACCCUUAAGCUCUGCUUAGUGUUAGGUGUUUGUUUUACUUAGGACUUGCCUUAAAACAAUUAGUAGCUAGUAUAUUAGCCUAGAGCGCAGCAUAUUUUGCGCCUCUUAUUAUAGUUGUUAGCAUCUAUUAAGACACUUUUUAAGCUCUUAACCUUAGAUUAGGUAGGGAUACCUGCUAAACUUAAGCAUAUUAAUAAGCAGAGGAAAAGAAACUAAUAGGGAUUGCCCUAGUAAUAGUGAGUGAAGCGGUAACAGCUUAAAUUUAAAAUCUAGCUCUUUUAGGGUCUAAGUUGUAAUUUGCAGAGGGCGCUUUAGUGUUAGUAGUAGUCUAAGUUCCUUAGAACAGGACAUUAUAGAGGGUAAGAAUCCUAUACGUAGUCGCUGGCCUUCGCCGUGUAAAGCCCCUUUAACAAGUCAAGUUGUUUAGGAAUACAGCUCUAAAUAGGAGGUAAAUUUCUUCUAAAGCUAAAUACUAGCUAGAGACUAAUAGCGCACAAGUAGAGUAAUCAAAAGAUAAAAAGCACUUUAGAAAGAGAGUUAAAUAGCACGUGAAAUUGUUAAAAGGGAAGCGCUUGUAGCUAGACUUGCCUAUAGUUACUUAUCUAGGCUUUUGUCUAGUGCACUCUUCUACAGGCAGGCUAGCAUUAGUUUAGGCGGUUAGAUAAAGGUCUCUGUCACGUACCUCCCUUUAGGGAGGCCUUAUAGGGGAGAUAACAUGCAACUAGCCUAGACUAAGGUCCGCGCAUCUGCUAGGAUACUAGCGUAAUGGCUAUAAGUGGCCUAUCUUAAAACAUAGACUAAGGAGUCUAACAUCUAUGCGAGUGUUUAGGUGUUAAGCCUAGACGCGUAAUAAAAGUGAAUAGAGGUAGGACCCCUUUUAGGGUGCACUAUUAACUAAUCCUAAUAUCUUUGGAAGGAUUUAAGUAAGAGUAUAGCUAUUAGGACCUAAAAGAUGGUAAACUAUGCUUAAAUAGGGUAAAGCUAGAGGAAACUCUAGUAGAGGCUUGCAGCAGUUCUAACGUGCAAAUUAAUUAUUAAAUUUAGGUAUAGGGGCGAAAGACUAAUUAAACUAUCUAGUAGCUAGUUCCUACUAAAGUUUCCCUUAGGAUAGCAGUAACGUAUUUAGUUUUAUAAGGUAAAGCAAAUAAUUAGAGGCCUAGGGGUUAAAAUAACCUUUACCUAUUCUUAAACUUUAAAUAUAUAAGAAGUCCUUAUUACUUAAUUAAACGUGGACACUUAAAUGUACUAUUACUAGUAGGCUAUUUUUAGUAAGCAGAACUAGCAAUGCAGGAUAAACUAAACGUAGGGUUAAGGUGCUAGAAUGCACGCUUAUUAGACACUACAAAAGGUGUUAGUUUAUCUAGAUAGCAGGAUAGUAGCUAUAGAAGUUAGAAUCUACUAAGAAGUGUGUAAUAACUUACCUGCUAAAUAAACUAGCCCUAAAAAUAGAUAGCGCUUAAGCGUGUUACCUAUACCCCGCUGCCAGGGCAAGAUUUAAGCCCUAGCAAGUAGGCAGGCGUAGAGGCUUGUGACAAAGCCUUAGGGGUAACCCUAGGUAGAACAGCCUCUAGUGCAGAUCUUAGUAGUAGUAGCAAAUACUUAAAUAAGAACUUUAAGGACUAAAGUAGGGAAAGGUUCUGUGUGAAUAGCAGUUAGACACAGGUUAGUUAAUCCUAAGAGAUAGGGUAAUUCUAUUUUAAUAUUAGUGCUUGCGCCGCGCCCUUAAAAGAGAAGCUAGUUAAUAUUCUAGCACCUAGAUAUAGAUUCUCCGCAGCAACGCAACUAAGAGCGGAGACCUUAGCGGGAGCCCUAAGAAGAGUUCUCUUUUCUUCUUAACAGUCUAUUACCCUAAAAUUAGUUUAUCUAGAGCUAGGGUUUAAUAGCUAGAAGAGUACUGCACUUUUAUAGCAUUUAGUGCGCUCCUAAUAAGCCUUAAAAAUCUACUUAAAGAAAUAGUUUUUACGCUAGGUUAUACUUAUAACUAUAGUAGGUCUCUAAGGUAAAAAGCCUCUAGUUAAUAGAAUAAUAUAGAUAAGGGAAGUUAGCAAAAUAGAUCUGUAACUUUAGGAAAAGGAUUAGCUCUAAGGGUUAGGUACGUUAGGCCUUGGGGAGAAGCCUCUAGCGUAGAAGGGCACUAACCGCAAGGUAGGCGCCUCUUAGCGCUAGGGUGUAGACACCCUUAGCAGGUUUUAGCUAUCUAGCGUACGUUUAAUAACUAACUUAGAACUAGUAUAGAUAAGGGGAAUCUAACUAUCUAAUUAAAAUAUAGCAUUGCAAUAGCUAGAAAGUAGUAUUAAUAUAAUGUGAUUUCUGCCUAGUGCUCUAAAUAUUAAAGCAAAGAGAUUUAACCAAGCGCGGGUAAAUAGCAGAAGUAACUAUAACUCUCUUAAGGUAGCUAAAUGCCUUGUUAUCUAAUUAGUAACGCGCAUAAAUAGAUUAACGAGAUUCCUACUAUCCCUAUCUACUAUCUAGCAAAACCAUAGCUAAGAGAACAGGCUUAGCCAAAUUAGCAGGGAAAGAAGACCCUAUUAAGCUUAACUCUAGUUUAAUAUUAUAAAAAGACAUAGGGGGUGUAGAAUAGGUAGGAGCUUUAGCGCUAGUAAAAUACUACUACCCUUAUCGUUUUUUUACUUAUUUAAUAAAGCGGAGCUAGGCCUUACUGCCUAACUUCUAGCGUUUAAGGUCCUUUGUGGGCUAAUCUAGGUUAAAGAUAUUGUUAGGUAGGGAGUUUAGCUAGGGCAGCAUAUCUAUUAAACUAUAACGCAGGUGUCCUAAGGGGGACUCAUAGAGAAUAGAAAUCUCUAGUAGAGCAAAAGGGCAAAAGUCCCCUUGAUUUUGAUUUUUAGUGUAAAUACAAACCAUGAAAGUGUGGCCUAUUAAUCCUUUAGUCCCUCGAAAUUUAAGGCUAGAGGUGCUAGAAAAGUUACCACAGGGAUAACUAGCUUGUAGCAGCCAAGCGUUUAUAGCGACGUUGCUUUUUAAUCCUUUAAUAUUAGCUCUUCCUAUUAUACUAAAUUAGAAUUUAGUAAGCGUUAGAUUGUUUACCUACUAAUAGGGAACGUGAGCUAGGUUUAGACUGUUGUAAGAUAGGUUAGUUUUACCCUACUAAUAACCUUGCCCUAAUAGUAAUACUGCUUAGUAUAAGAGGAACCGCGGUUUUAGAUAAUUAGUUUUUGCGGCUGUCUAACUAGGCAUUGCCACGAAGCUACUAUCUACUAGAUUAUAGCUAAAUGCCUCUAAGUCAGAAUCUAUGCCAGAACAGGGUGAUUUCUGCCUGCACUAGUUAGAUACAAAUAGGCCUUUGGCCUAGAACCUUACUAGAUUAGCGUUGGCAGCCCUAUUAAAGUUAGGGUUGUUAGCCAGUGUAUUGCAAUUAUACAGUGCGCAGGAUUAAAUCCUUUAUAGACGACUUAGUUGUCUGGCUAGGUCGUGUAAGUAGUUAAGUAGCCUUGUUGUUAUAAGCUACUAAGCGUAAGCCCGUUGCUAGCUUGGUUAAAAUUAGGAUAUUAUACCCUCCUUAUUUGCAAAACUGCUGCCUAAACGGCUGCUGUUAAUAGAAGGAAGAGGGCCAUAGCAAACAAGUUAUAUAGUAAUUGCAAGAUAGAGAGGGCUAGAGCUAGGAGCAAUCCUUGCAAAAUAUACAAAAGAAUAGGUUGUGUGUGUACGUACCUUAGGCAGUUAAUAUAUAGUAUAGGAAGAUUAAGAAAGGAUUUAAGAUAAUCUAUAUAGAUUUUUAGGUGGUGAUCUAUAACUUAAGAGCGUUCUAUAACUUUUUAUUUUUUAGGGGUAGUGUUCUAUAACUCUAGGGCGUUCUAUAACUUUAGGGUGUUCUAUAACUUUAGGGCGUUCUAUAACUUUUUAUUUUUUAGGGGUAGUGUUCUAUAACUUUAGCGCGUUCUAUACCUUUUAUUUAUUCUAUUACUUUAGUCCUUUCUAUAACUUUAGACUAUUCUAUACUAGUAGCUAUUAUAUCCUUUUUAUAAUACUUAUUAUAUCAUACUAUUAUCUAUUAUUCUUUACUGUUAAGUAUAUCCUUAUAUUUUAUAAAACCUUUUCUCUACUAGCUAGUCCUACUAUACUUUCUUUUAUAACCUACUAGUAUUAAAUAAUACCUUUAUAUUCUUCUUUUAUACUAUCUCUAUUUCUUGCCUUAUCUAUUAAGUAGAUAUAGAUAGAGCUAAUAGAUCUAUAGUUAAUAUAGAUACAGUAGUUAUAGUAGAGUACAGAUAUUAGAGUAGAUAUCCUUAUCUAUACAUUUACCUACUACUAAUAAAAUUCCAAGUUACUCUUAUCCAGCGAAUACGGGUUUAUGGUUUGUAUAGGGCUGCGCAUGUCUACACGGUUUUAUAUACAAAAAAGUGUACCUCCGAGCUGUUUUCUACUGCACUAACCCCGUGACGCGAAAAUUAAACUAAAACCUGUUCCUAUAAUAUAUAAGGAGGGCAAAUAGAUUCUUAAAUACUAAAUACCUAACUAACUAACUAAGGUUAAAUCUACUGCGCGCAGUUCUUGGAUUAGGCAGUUAAACUGGCGUUGUUAGGCACUAAGGGGGCAAUUUUUGCUCGUGUCCGCGUCUAUACUCUCUAUAACUCCCUAUUGUUAGCGCUCUGCGCCUAUUUUAGCGGCAGUUAGACUAAAUUUGAAAGUUUUGGUUUUAUAAUAGCUAGCCUUGUUUCCUAGAUUUCUGCCUAGUUUGGAUUCGCUCUAAUUAGUAGGUAAUCAGGGGCUUAGAGAUUGCUCUUCUACUUAACUAGGCAGGCCUAGGCCUAUAUGCUAAAGCAACCCUGCUGUUGCGCCUAGUUUUAUAGUUAGCACCUAAAGUCCUACUGUUAAAGUUUUAGCAGUAGGCAAAAUUUAGGGUCUGUAGAUAGCUAGCACUACCAAACUAUUUAAUAGAUCUUAGGGGAUAGCCCUGCCUAGCAUCUGCUCCUAGUAAGCGUGGUAAAGCGUAGGUUUUCUCCACUUAAGGCAUGUAUGUAGCGAGUUUAAACACGCAGAAACGCCUGUUAGGCUUUGUUACAGACUAUUCCUUAAGAAACUUAGUAGGGGCAAUUAAAUUAGUUGCUAGUUAUAACUAGUGCCUUGUGUGCUAUUAUACUAGUAGCUAGAAUUACUUCUACGAUUUCUUAUCACAUACUUUCCGCCUCCUUUUAGGGGUAGUGCUUAUGCGCUUUAGCGUAUUAGGUAUUAGGAUUGUUACCUAGUUAAUUCUGCUAGUAGUUAUAUACUUAUCUUAAAGAUUAAGCUAUGCAUGUCUAAGUAUAAGCAAUUAUACCGUGAAACUGCGAAUAGCUUAUUAAAUUAGUUAUUGUUUAUUUGAUAGUACCUUACUACUUAGAUAACUAUGGUAAUUCUAGAGCUAAUACAUGCUAAAAACCCUAACUUUAAAAGGGGUGUAUUUAUUAGAUAAAAAACCAACGCCCUUUAGGGCUUCUUAGUAAUUUAUAAUAACUUUACGGAUCGCAUAGCCUUGCGCUAGCAAUAGUUUAUUUAAAUUUCUGCCCUAUUAACUUUU